This 440-nucleotide ribosomal RNA is filed under the name uncultured bacterium. Its description in RNAcentral is "bacterial SSU rRNA". It matches the Rfam family "Bacterial small subunit ribosomal RNA", at positions 64 to 518 of the family's 1533-position model. The record is from RNAcentral.
GUUUCGGAUGGAGGUGAAGAUGUAUGUCUAGGCGGCGGACGGGUGGGUAACGCGUGAGCAACCUGUCCCUUACAGGGGAGUAACACAGCGAAAGUUGUACUAAUACCGCAUGAGACCACGGGGAGACAUCUUCCAGGGGUCAAAGGAGCAAUCCGGUAAGGGGUGGGCUCGCGUCCGAUUAGAUAGUUGGUGAGGUAACGGCCCACCAAGUCGACGAUCGGUAGCCGACCUGAGAGGGUGAUCGGCCACAUUGGGACUGAGACACGGCCCAAACUCCUACGGGAGGCAGCAGUGGGGAAUAUUGGGCAAUGGGGGGAACCCUGACCCAGCAACGCCGCGUGAGGGAAGAAGGUUUUCGGAUCGUAAACCUCUGUCCUUGGUGAAGAGGAAGAGACGGUAGCCAAGGAGGAAGCCCCGGCUAACUACGUGCCAGCAGCCGC